RNAcentral lists this ribosomal RNA (521 nucleotides) under Roseivirga spongicola. RNAcentral's name for it is "bacterial SSU rRNA". It matches the Rfam family "Bacterial small subunit ribosomal RNA", at positions 381 to 904 of the family's 1533-position model. The record is from RNAcentral. Lineage: Bacteria; Pseudomonadati; Bacteroidota; Cytophagia; Cytophagales; Roseivirgaceae.
AGCUGACCAGCCAUGCCGCGUGCAGGAAGACGGCCUUCUGGGUUGUAAACUGCUUUUCUACGGGAAGAAAAUGCCCUUGCGAGGGAAAUUGCCGGUACCGUAGGAAUAAGCACCGGCUAACUCCGUGCCAGCAGCCGCGGUAAUACGGAGGGUGCAAGCGUUGUCCGGAUUUAUUGGGUUUAAAGGGUGCGUAGGCGGAUCUUUAAGUCAGUGGUGAAAGCCUGCAGCUUAACUGUAGAACUGCCAUUGAUACUGGAGGUCUUGAGUACACUAGAGGUAGGCGGAAUUUAUGGUGUAGCGGUGAAAUGCAUAGAUACCAUAAAGAACACCUAUAGCGUAGGCAGCUUACUGGAGUGUAACUGACGCUGAGGCACGAAAGCAUGGGGAGCGAACAGGAUUAGAUACCCUGGUAGUCCAUGCCGUAAACGAUGAUUACUCGAUGUUGGCGAUAUACUGUCAGCGUCCAAGCGAAAGCGUUAAGUAAUCCACCUGGGGAGUACGCUCGCAAGAGUGAAACUCAA